CCUACGGGGGGCAGCAGUCGAGAAUCAUUCACAAUGGGGGAAACCCUGAUGGUGCGACGCCGCGUGGGGGAAUGAAGGUCUUCGGAUUGUAAACCCCUGUCAUGUGGGAGCAAAUUAAAAAGAUAGUACCACAAGAGGAAGAGACGGCUAACUCUGUGCCAGCAGCCGCGGUAAUACAGAGGUCUCAAGCGUUGUUCGGAAUCACUGGGCGUAAAGCGUGCGUAGGCUGUUUCGUAAGUCGUGUGUGAAAGGCGCGGGCUCAACCCGCGGACGGCACAUGAUACUGGGAGACUAGAGUAAGGGAGGGGGAACCGGAAUUCUCGGUGUAGCAGUGAAAUGCGUAGAUAUCGAGAGGAACACUCGUGGCGAAGGCGGGUUCCUGGACAUUAACUGACGCUGAGGCACGAAGGCCAGGGGAGCGAAAGGGAUUAGAUACCCGGGUAGUC
RNAcentral lists this ribosomal RNA (446 nucleotides) under uncultured bacterium. Its description in RNAcentral is "partial 16S ribosomal RNA". It matches the Rfam family "Bacterial small subunit ribosomal RNA", at positions 338 to 795 of the family's 1533-position model. The record is from RNAcentral.